AGAUUGAACGCUGGCGGCAUGCUUUACACAUGCAAGUCGAACGGUAACAGGCCGCAAGGUGCUGACGAGUGGCGAACGGGUGAGUAAUGCAUCGGAACGUGCCCAGUCGUGGGGGAUAACGCAGCGAAAGCUGUGCUAAUACCGCAUACGAUCUAUGGAUGAAAGCGGGGACCGAAGGCCUGCGCGAUUGGAGCGGCCGAUGUCAGAUUAGCUAGUUGGUGGGGUAAGCCCACAAGGCGACGAUCUGUAGCUGGUCUGAGAGGACGACCAGCCACACUGGACUGAGACGACGGUCCAGACUCCGUACGGGAGGCAGCGAGUAGGGGUAACUUUUUAGGACUAAGUGGCGACGAGACCUGACUCCAGCAAGUGUCCGCGU
Molecule: ribosomal RNA, 379 nt
Filed under: uncultured soil bacterium
Lineage: Bacteria
Description: bacterial SSU rRNA
Rfam family: Bacterial small subunit ribosomal RNA
Source: RNAcentral